UACGAAGGGGACUAGCGUUGUUCGGAAUUACUGGGCGUAAAGCGCACGUAGGCGGAUUCGUAAGUCAGGGGUGAAAUCCCGGGGCUCAACCUCGGAACUGCCUUUGAUACUGCGGAUCUCGAGUCCGAUAGAGGUGGGUGGAAUUCCUAGUGUAGAGGUGAAAUUCGUAGAUAUUAGGAAGAACACCGGUGGCGAAGGCGGCCCACUGGAUCGGUACUGACGCUGAGGUGCGAAAGAGUGGGGAGCAAACAGG
RNAcentral lists this ribosomal RNA (253 nucleotides) under uncultured bacterium. RNAcentral's name for it is "partial 16S ribosomal RNA". It matches the Rfam family "Bacterial small subunit ribosomal RNA", at positions 524 to 776 of the family's 1533-position model. The record is from RNAcentral.